Molecule: ribosomal RNA, 448 nt
Filed under: uncultured bacterium
Lineage: Bacteria
Description: bacterial SSU rRNA
Rfam family: Bacterial small subunit ribosomal RNA
Source: RNAcentral
UGCCAGACUCCUACGGGAGGCAGCAGUAGGGAAUCUUUCACAAUGGGCGAAAGCCUGAUGCAGCGACGCCGCGUGAGCGAUGAAGUAUUUCGGUAUGUAAAGCUCUAUCAGCAGGGAAGAAGAAGGACGGUACCUGAGUAAGAAGCCCCGGCUAACUACGUGCCAGCAGCCGCGGUAAUACGUAGGGGGCAAGCGUUAUCCGGAUUUACUGGGUGUAAAGGGAGCGUAGACGGCGAAGAAAGUCUGAAGUGAAAGCCCGCGGCUCAACCGCGGAAUGGCUUUGGAAACUUUUUUGCUGGAGUACCGGAGAGGUAAGCGGAAUUCCUAGUGUAGCGGUGAAAUGCGUAGAUAUUAGGAGGAACACCAGUGGCGAAGGCGGCUUACUGGACGGUAACUGACGUUGAGGCUCGAAAGCGUGGGGAGCAAACAGGAUUAGAUACCCCAGUAC